CCUACGGGGAGCAGCAGUGAGGAAUAUUGGUCAAUGGACGAGAGUCUGAACCAGCCAAGUAGCGUGAAGGAUGACUGCCCUAUGGGUUGUAAACUUCUUUUAUAUGGGAAUAAAAUGUUCCAAGUGUGGGAUUUUGUAUGUACCAUAUGAAUAAGGAUCGGCUAACUCCGUGCCAGCAGCCGCGGUAAUACGGAGGAUCCGAGCGUUAUCCGGAUUUAUUGGGUUUAAAGGGAGCGUAGGUGGAUUGUUAAGUCAGUUGUGAAAGUUUGCGGCUCAACCGUAAAAUUGCAGUUGAAACUGGCAGUCUUGAGUACAGUAGAGGUGGGCGGAAUUCGUGGUGUAGCGGUGAAAUGCUUAGAUAUCACGAAGAACUCCGAUUGCGAAGGCAGUUCACUGGACUGCAACUGACACUGAGGCUCGAAAGUGUGGGUAUCAAACAGGAUUAGAUACCCGAGUAGUC
This 460-nucleotide ribosomal RNA is filed under the name uncultured bacterium. Its description in RNAcentral is "partial 16S ribosomal RNA". It matches the Rfam family "Bacterial small subunit ribosomal RNA", at positions 338 to 795 of the family's 1533-position model. The record is from RNAcentral.